RNAcentral lists this ribosomal RNA (253 nucleotides) under uncultured bacterium. RNAcentral's name for it is "partial 16S ribosomal RNA". It matches the Rfam family "Bacterial small subunit ribosomal RNA", at positions 524 to 776 of the family's 1533-position model. The record is from RNAcentral.
GACAGAGGGUGCUAGCGUUGUUCGGAAUUACUGGGCGUAAAGCGCGCGCAGGCGGCUCUGUAAGUCAGAAGUGAAAUGUCACUGCUCAACGGUGGCGCUGCUUCUGAUACUGCGGAGCUAGGGAUCGGUAGAGGCUGGUAGAAUUGCAGGUGUAGCGGUGGAAUGCGUAGAGAUCUGCAAGAAUACCCGUGGCGAAGGCGGCCAGCUGGGCCGUAUCCGACGCUGAGGCGCGAAAGCGUGGGGAGCAAACAGG